CAUCGUACUCGUGAUAUAUAGAUUUCUAGGGUUUACUAUAAUAAACACCAGCAGUAGGAGCACAAGUCACAGCCAUGGUUCUCAAGACUGAGCUAUGUCGUUUUAGUGGAGCCAAGAUUUAUCCUGGUAAAGGAAUCAGAUUUAUUCGCUCUGAUUCUCAGGUGUUUCUUUUUGCUAAUUCAAAAUGCAAGAGAUAUUUUCACAACAAGUUGAAGCCAUCUAAGCUUACAUGGACAGCCAUGUUUAGGAAGCAACAUAAGAAGUAGCUCUCGGCUAACAUUUAAUUAAACAAUGCUUCUGAUACAUGAUAUCUCGCAAGAGGCUGUAAAGAAGAAGAGACGUGCCACCAAGAAGCCUUACUCUAAGUCUAUCGUCGGUGCUACCUUGGAGGUUAUCCGGAAGAAAAAAGCCGAGAAGCCAGAAGUUCGAGAUGCUGCCAGGGAAGCUGCUCUCCGAUGUGGAAAUUAAGGAUAGGAUCAAGAAGACCAAAGAUGAAAAGAAGGCGAAGAAGGCCGAAGUGACAGCCAAGUCACAGAAAGCAGGAGGAAGAGGUACCAUGCCCAAGGGUGCUGCACCAAAGGGUCCCAAACUCGGUGGUGGUGGUGGAAAGCGUUAAGCUGCCAAUCUUUUCGACGUUCUUUGCUAUUAGUCCGAUUAGUUAAACCGAUAUCGAUUUUUUUCCAAGUUGCAUUUAUAGGAUGUUUGUAUUAAGUUUUCUCUGGUUGGUACAACAAUGACUGUUUCAAUUUUGUUUUCCCUUGUUGUGUACUUGAGUUUAAAAUUGAGCAAUUUUAGAUGCUUCUGAAUCUAAUGUUGAGAUCUCUCAUAUGCACACCAAAUGAUGAUUUCCCAUGUUGCGGAAAAACAGACAUGGAAAUAGAAAUUUAUAUGUUUGAAUAUA
Molecule: long non-coding RNA, 901 nt
Organism: Mercurialis annua (annual mercury)
Lineage: Eukaryota; Viridiplantae; Streptophyta; Magnoliopsida; Malpighiales; Euphorbiaceae
Exons: 5
Source: RefSeq, a predicted model, not a curated record